Molecule: ribosomal RNA, 728 nt
Filed under: uncultured archaeon
Lineage: Archaea
Description: bacterial SSU rRNA
Rfam family: Archaeal small subunit ribosomal RNA
Source: RNAcentral
CUGGUUGAUCCUGCCAGACCUGACUGCUAUCGGAACGGGACUAAGCCAUGCGAGUCUGCCAGUUUAAGCACGUGAACUAGCGGCGAACGGCUCAGUAACACGUAGUCAACCUGCCCUCCGGUUGAGAACAAUCUCGGGAAACUGAGCCUAAUUCUUGAUAGAUCAAGAUUCCUGGAAUGGGUUUUGGUCAAAACGAAGUAACAGCAUCUUGUUAUUUUCGUCAGAGGAUGGGACUGCGGCCGAUCAGGCUGUUGGUGAGGUAAAGGCUCACCAAACCAGUAACCGGUACGGGCUUUGAGAGAAGGAGCCCGGAGAUGGACACUGAGACAAGGGUCCAGGUCCUACGGGGCGCAGCAGGCGCGAAACCUUCGCAAUGCGCGCAAGCGCGACGAGGUUAUUCCGAGUGAUUUCCGCUGAGGAAAUCUUUUCUCAGAUCUAAAAUGUCUGGGGAAUAAGGGGAGGGCAAGUCUGGUGUCAGCCGCCGCGGUAAUACCAGCUCCUCGAGUGGUCAGGGCGUUUAUUGGGCCUAAAGCAUCCGUAGCCGGCUCAGUAGGUCUCCUGUUAAAUCCAACGGCUCAACUGUUGGUCUGCAGGAGAUACCACUGGGCUAGGAGGCGGGAGAGGCGGACGGUACUCCGAGGGUAGGGGUAAAAUCCUUUGAUCCCCGGAAGACCACCAGUGGCGAAGGCGGUCCGCCAGAACGCGCUCGACGGUGAGGGAUGAAAGCU